RNAcentral lists this ribosomal RNA (389 nucleotides) under uncultured bacterium. RNAcentral describes it as "bacterial SSU rRNA". It matches the Rfam family "Bacterial small subunit ribosomal RNA", at positions 28 to 417 of the family's 1533-position model. The record is from RNAcentral.
GACGAACGCUGGCGGCGCGCCUCACACAUGCAAGUGGAGCGAGAAGCCGGGCUUCGGCCCGGUGGAAAGCGGCGAACGGGUGCGUAACACGUGAGCAACCUGCCCCGAAGACCGGGACAAGCCGGGGAAACCUGGUCUAAUACCGGAUGUCCCCUCCUGAUCGCAUGGUCGGGUGAGGAAAUGGAUUCCGCUUCGGGAUGGGCUCGCGGUCUAUCAGCUUGUUGGUGGGGUAACGGCCACCAAGGCGACGACGGAUAGCUGGUCUGAGAGGACGAUCAGCCACACUGGGACUGAGACACGGCCCAGACUCCUACGGGAGGCAGCAGUGGGGAAUCUUGCGCAAUGAGGGAAACCUUGACGCAGCGACGCCGCGUGCGGGAUGAAGGCCU